GGGAUUUGUUUGUUUGUUUGUUUGUUUUUUGCUUUUUAGGGCUCCAUCUGUGGCACAUGGAAGUUCCCAGUCUAGGGGUCAAAUUGGAGCUGCAGUUGCCAGCCUACCCCACAGCUCACAGCAAUGCCGGAUCCUUAAUCCAUUGAGUGAGGCCCGGAAUCAAAUCUGUGUCCUCAUGGAUACUAGUCGGGUUCAUUGCUGCUGAGCCACAAUGGGAACUCCUCAUUUGUUUUUUUCUUUUAUGUUCUUCAGACUGGGUCAUCUCAGUUGACUAUGUUCACUAAUUCUUCUGUCUGCUCAAAUAUAGUCUUAAGUCUCUAGUUAAUUUUUCAUUUUUUUCUGUACUUUUUUUUUCUUUUUGUCUUUCAGGGCUGUACCCAUGGCAUUUGGAAGUUCCCAGGCUAGGGGUGGAAUUGGAGCUGCAGCUGCCGGCCUGUGCCACAGCCACAGCAGCAUGGGAUCCAAGCUGUAUCUACAACCUAUACCACAGCUCAAGGCAAGACCAGAUCCUUAACCCACUGAGUGAGGCUAGGUAUUGAACCUGCACCUUCACGGAUACUAGUUGAGUUUGUUACUACUGAGCCACAACAGGAACUCCUGUUACUACUUUUCAAUUCCAUAAUUUUUAAAAAAGUUUCUUUUUAUUGAGACUUAAUUCUCAUUGUUUUAGUUCUUUACACAUGAUUUUGUAUAGUUCUUUGAAUAUAUUUAAAAUACCUGAUAUAAAUAAAAUCUUUGCCUAGUAAGGCCAAUGUCUUCCUUAAUGAUAGUAUUAUCUGCUUUCUCCACUAUGUUUGGGCCACAUUUUCUUGUUUGUUUGCAUGCCUUAUAGUUUUUGUUGAAAACUGGAAGUUUACUAUAUGGAAUCCUGGAAAUCAGAUUCUUCCUACUCCCUCAAGAUUUGUUAUUGUUCUUGCUUUUUUUGUGUACUGACUAUCUUGAAUUUCUUCUUGUAAAAUUUGUAUUCUUUGUUAGGUAUGGCCAUCGAAAUCUCUGCUUAAUUAGCUUAGUGGUGAGCUAAUGAUUGGACAGAUUCCUUAACAGCCUAGGACCAGUAAGUCUCCUAUUCUUCACUGAGUGGCUCUGUGUUCAUAUUAGAGCUUACCUUCAAAACUCAGGCAGUUUCCUCCUCUGCCUCAGCUCUUACUUCCUGGGUGCAAAGAGCCUAAAUAUCCAUCAGAAGUGAGAACUUAAGACCUUCUCUGGGCUUUUCCGAACACUUGUACAGCCUUGUGUGUAAACAGUUGUAUGCAUUUUGUAGCUUUUUAGGUUCCCAAAAAUGAUGUCAGUUUUUCUGGACAUCUUAUCCCCCAGCUUUUUUUUUUUUUUUUUUUUUUGUCUUUUUAGGGCCUUGCCUAUGGCAUAUGGAAGUUCCCAGGCUGGGGGUCCAAUUGGAGCUAUAGCUGCUGGCCUGCACCACAGCCACAGCAGUGUAGCAUCCGAGCUGUGUCUGCAACCUACACCACAGCUUGUGGCAAUGCCAGAUCCCCAACCCACUGAGCAAGGGCAGGGGGAUCAAACCCACCUCCUCACAGAUACUAGUCGGGUUCGUUUCCACUGCAUCACAAGGGGAACUCCUAGUUAUCCAUUUGUAAUGCUCCCCAUUUCUGUAUGUAGAUUCAGAUUUCUGUCUUCUAUCAUUUUAUUUCUGCCCAAAGGACUUUCAGUAUUUCCUGUGGUACAUGUAUAUAGGUGAUGAAUUCUUUCAGCCCUUGUAAGACUGAUAAGGUCUUUAUGUCAUCUCUGCCUCUGUGUUUACGAGGUGUAUUUGUUAUUAGAUUUCUUACAUUUGUCUGGUUUUGUUAUCAGUGCAGUUGUGGCCUUGUAAGUUAAAUUAGAGUGUUCCCUUCUCUUUUUUCUGAAAGUGAUUGUGAAUUAUUAGUAUCUCUUCCUUAUGUUGAUAGAAUUCAGUAAUGAAACCAUUUGGACCUGGAAUUUUCUUUCUUUCUUUGUUUUUUGUUGCAGUCACGCUCUAGAGGAGCUAUUUGGGGGGGGGGGUUGUUUGUUUUUAAUUUAAUUUAAUUUUUUUGAAUUAUUUGCCCAAUACAAUUUUUUUUCUACUGUACAGCAUGGUGACCCAGUUACACAUACAUGUACACAUUCUAUUUUCUCACAUUAUCAUGCUCCAUCAUAAAUGACUAGACAUAGUUCCCAGUGCUGCAUAGCAGGAUCUCUUUGCUAAUCCAUUCCAAAGGCAAUAGUUUGCAUCCAUUAACCUCAAGAUACCAAUCCACCCCACUCCCUCUCCCCCUUGGCAACCACAAGUCUCCUUUCCCAUUUCAUGAUUUUCUUUUUUGUGGAAAGGUUCAUUUGUGUCCUAUGUUAGAUUUCAGAUAUACAAUAUCACGUGGUAUUUGUCUUUCUCUUUCUGACUUACUUCACUCAGUAUGAGAGUCUCUGGUUGCAUCCAUGUUGCUGCAAAUGGCAUUCUUUUGUUUUUUUAUGGCUGAGUAGUAUUCCAUUGUGUAUAGAUACCACAUCUUCCUAAUCCAAUCAUCUGUCGAUGGACAUUUGGGUUGUUUCCAUGUCUUGGCUAUUGUGAAUAGUGCUGCAAUGAACAUGCGAGUGCAUGUGUCUUUUUUAAGGAAGGUUUUGUCCUUUUUUUUGUUUUUGUUUUGUUGCUUUUUAGGGCUGCACCCACAGCAUAUGGAGGUUCCCAGGCUAGGGGUCGAAUGGGUGCUACAGCUGCCAGCCAGCCUGUGUCACAGCCAUAGCAACACAGGAACCGAGCUGCUUCUUCGACCUACACCAUAGUUCACAGCAACACAAGAUCCUUAAGCCACUGAGUAAGGCCAGUGAUUGAACCUGCAACCUCAUGGUUACUAGUUGAAUCAUUUCUGCUGUACCACAAUGGGAACUCCAAAACAACUUUUGUUUUUUUGGUUUUUUGGUUUUUUUUGGACCUGAUGUUUUCUUUGUUGGGGAGUUUUUAAAGAUGAAUGCGGUAUCUUUAGUAUAUAGACAGCUAAUAUAUACAGAGGUAGUCAUGAGCUAUCCUUUUCUUCAUGAGUGGAUAUUCCUUUGUUAUCCCUUUAAUGUCUACUGAGUCUAGUGAUACCAUCUCUUUCAUUCCUGAUAUUGGUAAUUUUUGUCUCCUUUUUCCUUGGUCAGUCUAGGUAGAGAUUUAUCAGUUUGUUUAUAUUUUUAAAGAAUCAGCUUUUGCUUUUGUUACUUUUCUAUAUUUUAAUGUUUUCAGUUUCUUUGGUUUCUGCUUUUUCUUCCUUAAGGUUACUUUGUGUUUAAUUUGCUUAAUUUGUGGAAGCCUACAUUAUUGAGGGGGGAAGAGCACACAGAGAAGUAGUUUAUUUAAGUCAGAAGCGAAGAAGUAAUACACACCCUAAAGAGCAAAGGUGCUGGCAUCCCCCUGAGUGAAGAGUGCCUACAUUAUUGAUUUGAGACUUUUCUAAUAGAAGUAUUUUAAUACUGUAAGUUUUUGUCUAAGCAGUGUUUUUUUUUUUUUUUUUUUCAGCAUCCUGAAGUUUUGAUGUAUUUUCACUUUCAUUCCAUUCAAAUUAUUUUUUAAUUUCCCUUUGACCCAUGACCUAAAUAAGUAAUGUUAAAUUUCUGGUUAUUAGAGAAUUUUUCCAGGUAUCCUUAUGUUAUUGAUUUCUAACUUAAUUUCCUUAUGGUCAUAGAGCAUACUUUGUAUUCACUAGUCCGUAUUUGAGGAUUUAAGUGAUAACUGUUCAAUACUGCAGCUGCUUUUGUUUUGACCCUUUGAGUUUUCCAGCUCUCCCUUCAGUUGUUGGGUUCUAAGUAGUUAAAUCAUCUUCUAAAUUGUAGAUGAUCCCAGCCAGCUUCAGUGCUCCAGGAUAGGCAUUGGAAUCUGGACAUGGGAAUAUAUAAGAGAAUUAGGCGUGUACCUAAAAGCCAUACCUAAAUAGAACUCUGAACCUGGGAAUGUGAAUAGCAAGGAUUCAUUUAAUAAAGGAUUAUCCUUUAUUAAAGUCCAUUAUAGGGGUCUUCAGCAGUUGAGUAAACACAAUGGCGAGUAUCCAAAAGAGUUCGAUGUCAGGGUCAGAACUGAAGUACCUAAAAUAUUGUAUUUGUGUCUUUCGGCUUUUCAGGGUUUGGAUUUUUUCCCCUGAAUCUUUAUUGUAAAAAUAUUCAAACAUGAAACAAUAGUAACCAUGAACACACAUAUACUCCGCAUGUAAAUGUAGUAGAUAAAAUUUUUCUUUCUUCACAUUUUUCUCUUUUAUGUGUAUGUGUGUGAGUGUUAAUACGUAGACAUUCUCACUCCCCAGUUUAACAGCUGGACCAGUUGAAAAUUGUAGGCAUCAUAAUACUUUAUUCCUCAGAAUUUCAGCUUGCCUUUCCUUUAUGAAGGACUAUUUUCCUGUGUCAUUACAAUACCGUUAUCAUACCUAAGAAAAAUUUAAAGUAAUUUCUUAAUGACAUCUAUUAUGUAGUCUUACUCAGAUUUAUCUAGUUGCCCCAAAAAUGUCUUUCAUAACUUUUUUCCAUAGCAGGUUCCAAUCAAAGCUCAUGUUUUGUCUCAUUUAGUGUAGACCAGUGGUUCUCAACUCAGAACAGUUUUGCCCUACAGGGGAUAUUUGGCAAUGUCUGAUGAUUUAACUUUUUCCUUCUUCCUUCAUUCUUUGUGUUUCUUUUAAAUGAGAAGUUAGGUUUAGAAGUUCAGUUAGAUUCAAGUUAAGCAUUUUGAAUAAGAACUUCAUCUUUGGAGUUCUCUUGCAGCUCAGCCGGUUAAGGAUCCAGCAUUUUCACUGCUGUGGUAUGGUUUCAUUCCCUGGCCUGGGAACUUCCACAUGCCAUGGAUAGGGCUCCCCCCCGCAAAAAAAAAGCUCACUUCAUCUUUGUUUUGUAUACUUCAUAUUGCAGAACUUCGAGAGGCUAAGUUUGGUCACUUGGUUAAGGUAAUGUAUCUACAGUGUAAUUUUCUUUAGCAGUUCCCAGUAUUGGGGGUGAUCCUCUGACACCUUGCUCAUCCAGUUACCUAUGAUGCUUAGUAUAUCUGUUGAUAAUCCUUACCCAAAUUAGUUAUGGGUUUGUUCUUUUUAACAUGUCAUUCUUUUCUUCUUCUUUUUUUCUUUUUUUUUUAUGUUUUUAAAUUUUUUUUUUUUUUCUUUUUUGGGCCAUACUCUCGGCGUAUGGAGGCUCCUGGGCUCGGGGUCCAAUCUGAGCUACGGCUGCCGGUCUACGGCACAGCCAGAGCAACUCGGGAUCCGAGCUGUGUCUGGGACCUACAGCACACAGCUCACGGCAACACCGGAUCCUUAACCCACUGAAUGAAGCCAGGGAUCGAACCUGCAUCCUCCUGGAUCCUAGUGGGGUUUGUUAACCACUGAGCUACAAAGGGAACUCCCUCUUCUCUUCUUUUAUUACCAGCAUUCUUCUGUAAAGAGCCUUUCUUCUCUCAUUUUUCCCUUUUAAUAUUAGUUGGGAUUUAUGAAUUUUUAUUUAAUAUUUUAAAGUCCACUUCAGUCAUUAUUUUUGCAGUUCUAAAGUUGAUGCAGGUGUCUCCUUCAAACUGUCUCCUUUGUGCCUUUGAAGUCGUCUCAUUAUCAUUAGUGUUUUGAGUACUUUCUUGCUUUCUUGGCACAAUCAGAUGUCUCAGUCUUGCUCUCAAUUUCCCAGCUCUGGUUGUAGCCGUUUCACCAAAUAGCCCUAGGACUUUUUAAUGGAGCAAAAUGUUUAAAACUAAGAUCUGGGGUGGGAGGUGUUCUAGCGGCCCACUCGAUUAAGAAUCCGACAUUGUCACUGUAGCGGCUCUGGUUACUACUGUGGUGUGGUUCACUCCCUGGCCAGGAAACUUCUGUAUGCCAAGGGCAUGGCCAAAAACAAAAACAAAAACAAAAAACCAUCACUAAACAGCUAAGAUCUGGGAGGUAGGUAUGCUCAUUGCUACUGGGUUAUCAUUGUUUCUAAGACGUUUUAGUCAGCAGAGCUAUAAAAUACUUUUUAUCUUUAAAUCAUUUGUUCCUAUUGAUACCCAAUUCAGAAUUAACCUAAGUUUUUUCGUGUCUUUAAUUUUAUAUAUUUUAUAUUUGUUUCUUUUUCUCUUUUAUAAAAAAAUGUGGUUUCAGAGUUCCCGUCAUGGCACAGCAGAAAUGAAUCCGACUAGGAAUUGUAAGGCUUCAGGUUCGAUACCUGGCCUUCCUCAGUGGGUUAAGGAUCUGGCAUUGCUGUGAGCUGUGGCAUAGGUCUAAGAUGCGGCUUGGAUCCUUUGUUGCUGUGGCUGUGGUGUAGGCCGGCAGGUGUAGCUCUGAUUGGAGCCCUAACCUGGGAACCUCCAUAUGCCAUGGGUGCAGCUCUUAAAAAAAAAAAAAAAGCAAAAAAAAA
Molecule: long non-coding RNA, 6303 nt
Filed under: Sus scrofa (pig)
Lineage: Eukaryota; Metazoa; Chordata; Mammalia; Artiodactyla; Suidae
Description: lncRNA (ENSSSCG00005020270.1)
Source: RNAcentral